RNAcentral lists this unclassified non-coding RNA (2707 nucleotides) under Hevea brasiliensis (rubber tree). The record is from RNAcentral. Lineage: Eukaryota; Viridiplantae; Streptophyta; Magnoliopsida; Malpighiales; Euphorbiaceae.
GGGCAACUAUAAUUUUAUUUUUAAAAAAAUAAUGUUACAUAUUUCCUCAGCUGGAUGUUACAUAACAUAAAUAAUGAUAUCUUUAAAAGAAAAAUCCAAUUACAAGCAAUUAAAUAAUGUUAACUACUAAUAAAAUAUUGCUAAAUAAAGUUUAGCUCCUUGUUCUUAGAAAUGGCAUCACGACUGUCCAUUGUGGAAAAGCUAGUGACAACUCAAAUAUCAAAAAUCUGAAAGUUAUGAUUCAGCAGAUCAUCAAUCAUCACAGAGAUCAAUAAUUAUAUGGCCAAAGGCAAUACUUGGAACUCCAAAUGGUAGCAGUACAUUAGCACAAAAUUCAAUUAGAGUCUUCCAUUUGUGCAAUGCAAACAAUUAUAGGAGCUUGCAGCAGUGUAGUAUCCAUAGAAAGCAGGGCAUUAGAAAUAGCUCAUAAACUUUGGCAUCCAUAAUUUUUAACACAUUUUCUACACCUAACUCUACUUACUAUUCAUACGAGAAAGACGAGUCCUUCAAGCAUAAUAUGCUUGUAAUUUGCAGCCUGUAUUUUGCAGAUAUUAACUAGUAAAAUCUAAAAAUAGUGACAUGCUCCAAAAAGCCGAAGCCAAUGCAAUAAGAUAAUUAGCACCCUAAUCAACGCUUAGCAUAAAAAUGCGACAUCUAACGCACACAGUGCAUAAGAAAAACACACAUACGCACACACAUACUUAUCUAUCAUAAAAAAUGCCUCUCAAAGACAACAGCAAAAUAGAAAAUAAUGGAGACAAUGGUAAUGCAUCAAUAAUGUUCAUAAAAUUAUGCAUUUGUAGUAUGUUUAGUUCUUCUUGGGUGGGAUUCCCCGUUCAGUAUUUAUUACAAUCCAUCGUACUCAACCAGCACAAACUAACAAAUAUCUAGAGCCUGGUUGCUCUAGCCACCAUCAUUUAUUAACUAUAAUUUGUCAGAAUAAUACAAUGAUUUCCAGUGAAGAACUUCUUAACGACUUAUUUGAGGAAACAAUAAAUUAAAUAACAAAGGGAGAUACCGAAAGAUGACAAGAUAGUAGCACGAAUAAUAACUUUUCUUGGAAUGUAACAGUUCCGAACUUGUUGUCAAUCAAACAGCUAUAUCUUCUCAUCUUAGUAUUUUUAAGGAAGUUUUGCAGCGAUAGCUCAAAUCACAAUGUUUCCACAGUAUAAAGCGAUGACAUAUACUUAUUGCUAUGCAUUCACAAUUGAUAUGCUUAAAUCUAGUACAUAUUACAAUACCUUAACAGAGAAAAUCUCCAUAAGAGCAUACCAAGUUCCUGAAACUGCAAGAACAACACCUACAGUCAAGAUCCCCACAUCAAUACACCAUCCUUUUAAGUCCAUUUCUUCCUUAAAUACGAGCAGGUGAAAUAGAGCUGGCAAAACAAAUCCCAGUCCACAACAUACACUACUUCCCACCAAGGACAUGAAAUCAGCAAAAUUUGGCACCAAUAAGGCCACCAAACUCACAGCUAAAACCAACACCCAUCUAAGCCACAAACAAUAUGUCCCACCCCAAAACCUUCUCUCUGCUAUCUCAUAGACUGGGUUCAUCAUCAAGGGAAAUGUGAAAAAAAGAUUAAUACAAAGACCAAGUUGAACCAAACUACUAAUCAGUCCAGCACCCAAGUUAGCAGUAAUAAUAUCUUUAGUUUCAUCGCCAAAAGCAAAGUAACCCAGCACACCAAAAGAUCCAUAAAGCAAUGAAAUAAAGGCCAUGCUUAACCCUACGGUUCUCCCAAAUUUUUCCUUCUCUUUCAUUUCUGACUCUAUAGGCAAAACCAUACCAAUCCCUUCAAAUGCGUAAACAGCCACCCCCAUCCCGUAGAAAAACACAGACGUACCCCCAAAAGCCCUUACCUCCGGCCUGUUUCUCAUCAUUAGCAAAACAUCCUCCACCAUGACCACACCCAUCGCACCAAGAUCAACAAUAUCAGCAAAUAUACUCAAAGGUGCUAAAUGGGUCAAAGUAGCAACAGAAUUUAACACCAAUUGGAACGGGAAACAACCCCAUAUGUAAAAACUCUUGGCAGACAAUCCCAUGAUUUGGGAAGUUAAGCUCUGAGACGAUGAUGAAUUGAAUAAAUUCACCAAAGUAUUUGCAAUAAAAAUUAAAUAACCAACACAAAAUCCAGCCUGAGACAAGACAAUCAUGAUAUCCACAACUAACCUCCCAAUAGAACCACAAACCGUGAAACCCAGAUCGCCAAAAGAGUUGAUAUUGGAGAAAUCAGAAGAAAAAGAUUGGAGCUUGCGCCGUGUGUGGACUAAAAGCAUCAUACAGUAGUGGGUCAAGGCGGCAACAGAAAAGAGCAUGAUGAGGCUCAUGAUCCAUCCGGUGCGUUUGAAAGCAUAAGGAAGACCAAGAACGCCAGCGCCUACGAUGGCAAUGAAGACAUUGGCAAAGGUCUUGGACUGGGACGAUAGAGGCUUGUCCUUGCCUAUGAGAGGCGUGUCUUCUGUUGGCCGGGCUUUCAGGGCGUUUGAGGAUGAUGAUGCUUGUUUGUUUUCAAAUCCCAUGAUUUAUGUUACUGUUUAUCUUCCAAAAAAGAAGAAGAAGAAGAAGCAAACGAGAUUAAACUUUACAAAGAGAACAUCACAAAAGAUAGAACAUGGAAAUGGAUGCACGAGGGAGAAGAAGAGAGAGGAUUCUGUUUUUCUAUCUUGGGGGACGUCAAAGGUUUCAUUGUAUUUUUUGAUGAUUU